UACGUAGGGUGCAGGCGUUAAUCGGAAUUACUGGGCGUAAAGCGUGCGCAGGCGGUUUGUUAAGACAGGUGUGAAAUCCCCGGGCUUAACCUGGGAAUUGCGCUUGUAACUGGCAGGCUAGAGUGUGGCAGAGGGGGGUGGAAUUCCACGUGUAGCAGUGAAAUGCGUAGAUAUGUGGAGGAACACCGAUGGCGAAGGCAGCCCCCUGGGUUAACACUGACGCUCAUGCACGAAAGCGUGGGGAGCAAACAGGAUUAGAUACCCCUUAGUCC
RNAcentral lists this ribosomal RNA (272 nucleotides) under uncultured prokaryote. RNAcentral's name for it is "partial 16S ribosomal RNA". It matches the Rfam family "Bacterial small subunit ribosomal RNA", at positions 524 to 796 of the family's 1533-position model. The record is from RNAcentral.